RNAcentral lists this ribosomal RNA (492 nucleotides) under uncultured bacterium. RNAcentral's name for it is "partial 16S ribosomal RNA". It matches the Rfam family "Bacterial small subunit ribosomal RNA", at positions 29 to 507 of the family's 1533-position model. The record is from RNAcentral.
AGUGAACGCUGGCGGUAGGCCUAACACAUGCAAGUCGAACGGCAGCACAGUAAGAGCUUGCUCUUACGGGUGGCGAGUGGCGGACGGGGGAGGAAUACAUCGGAAUCUACUUUUUCGUGGGGGAUAACGUAGGGAAACUUACGCUAAUACCGCAUACGACCUACGGGUGAAAGCAGGGGAUCUUUGGACCUUGCGCGAUUGAAUGGGCCGAUGUCGGAUUAGCUAGUUGGCGGGGUAAAGGCCCACCAAGGCGACGAUCCGUAGCUGGUCUGAGAGGAUGAUCAGCCACACUGGAACUGAGACACGGUCCAGACUCCUACGGGAGGCAGCAGUGGGGAAUAUUGGACAAUGGGCGCAAGCCUGAUCCAGCCAUACCGCGUGGGUGAAGAAGGCCUUCGGGUUGUAAAGCCCUUUUGUUGGGAAAGAAAAGCAGCAGGUUAAUACCCCGCUGUUCUGACGGUACCCAAAGAAUAAGCACCGGCUAACUUCGUG